CGAACGAUGAUGCCCAGCUUGCUGGGCGGAUUAGUGGCGAACGGGUGAGUAAUACGUGAGUAACCUGCCCUUGACUCUGGGAUAAGCCUGGGAAACUGGGUCUAAUACUGGAUACUACCUCUUGCCGCAUGGUGGGUGGUGGAAAGGGUUUUACUGGUUUUGGAUGGGCUCACGGCCUAUCAGCUUGUUGGUGGGGUAAUGGCUCACCAAGGCGACGACGGGUAGCCGGCCUGAGAGGGUGACCGGCCACACUGGGACUGAGACACGGCCCAGACUCCUACGGGAGGCAGCAGUGGGGAAUAUUGCACAAUGGGCGGAAGCCUGAUGCAGCGACGCCGCGUGAGGGAUGACGGCCUUCGGGUUGUAAACCUCUUUCAGUAGGGAAGAAGCGAGAGUGACGGUACCUGCAGAAGAAGCGCCGGCUAACUACGUGCCAGCAGCCGCGGUAAUACGUAGGGCGCAAGCGUUGUCCGGAAUUAUUGGGCGUAAAGAGCUCGUAGGCGGUUUGUCGCGUCUGCUGUGAAAGCCCGGGGCUCAACCCCGGGUCUGCAGUGGGUACGGGCAGACUAGAGUGCAGUAGGGGAGACUGGAAUUCCUGGUGUAGCGGUGAAAUGCGCAGAUAUCAGGAGGAACACCGAUGGCGAAGGCAGGUCUCUGGGCUGUUACUGACGCUGAGGAGCGAAAGCAUGGGGAGCGAACAGGAUUAGAUACCCUGGUAGUCCAUGCCGUAAACGUUGGGCACUAGGUGUGGGGGACAUUCCACGUUUUCCGCGCCGUAGCUAACGCAUUAAGUGCCCCGCCUGGGGAGUACGGCCGCAAGGCUAAAACUCAAAGGAAUUGACGGGGGCCCGCACAAGCGGCGGAGCAUGCGGAUUAAUUCGAUGCAACGCGAAGAACCUUACCAAGGCUUGACAUUCACCGGACCGCCCCAGAGAUGGGGUUUCCCUUCGGGGCUGGUGGACAGGUGGUGCAUGGUUGUCGUCAGCUCGUGUCGUGAGAUGUUGGGUUAAGUCCCGCAACGAGCGCAACCCUCGUUCUAUGUUGCCAGCACGUGAUGGUGGGGACUCAUAGGAGACUGCCGGGGUCAACUCGGAGGAAGGUGGGGAUGACGUCAAAUCAUCAUGCCCCUUAUGUCUUGGGCUUCACGCAUGCUACAAUGGCCGGUACAAAGGGUUGCGAUACUGUGAGGUGGAGCUAAUCCCAAAAAGCCGGUCUCAGUUCGGAUUGAGGUCUGCAACUCGACCUCAUGAAGUCGGAGUCGCUAGUAAUCGCAGAUCAGCAACGCUGCGGUGAAUACGUUCCCGGGCCUUGUACACACCGCCCGUCAAGUCACGA
RNAcentral lists this ribosomal RNA (1335 nucleotides) under Kocuria rosea. RNAcentral describes it as "bacterial SSU rRNA". It matches the Rfam family "Bacterial small subunit ribosomal RNA", at positions 63 to 1407 of the family's 1533-position model. The record is from RNAcentral. Lineage: Bacteria; Bacillati; Actinomycetota; Actinomycetes; Micrococcales; Micrococcaceae.